Long non-coding RNA from Folsomia candida, 8431 nucleotides. RefSeq lists it as uncharacterized. NCBI's taxonomy places the organism in Eukaryota, Metazoa, Arthropoda, Collembola, Entomobryomorpha, Isotomidae. The transcript has 6 exons. The record is from RefSeq and is a predicted model, not a curated record.
AUAUAGGAUGAGUGGCAUAGAACUGUUCAACCGGGAGUAGUAAAAAGACGAGUAAAAACUUUGUGUUUUUUUAUAUUUGUUAACAAAUAUUGUCAUCAAUUCUCAAAACAAUGUCAUCGAACAAAGUAACCUCACCCUCUCCGGUGACUGAAACUGAUAAGGUUUCUUCCUCCUCUGCUAAGAAGGCAAAGUAUUCCUGGGAAAUGAUUCCCCAAGAGCCACCUAAAAUUGAUGACCUCCCACCGCAGUACAAAGGCCGGACCAUUGUUGUGAGGGAGGUAAGAAAGGAGUGGAGCUCAGUGGGCAAGGUCAUGAACAUGAAUAAAAGAGACAAACAUGAGGAUAAAUCAGACAGUGGCGUGGGAAAAAUAAGGGACACAUUCUACGCUCUUGUUCGUCCAAAAGAAGAAGGGGAUGAAUUUGACUCUCCUGACUUCGCAAAAUGUACUCCAGAGGGUUAUGCCGAGAAGGUGCUGGAGCCAUUAAGUAAAAACGAGAAGGAGGAGGCGAUCAGGCAGAUCAAGGCAUCCAAAGAUGGAAUAAAAGUGGAUGAUACAAAUAAACAUCUGGUUUGGCGAAAAAUUGCUGCCUAUGAGAGACUAGUUUUGGAUGAUCACACAAAUGAUAGUACCGGAGGAAGAGUUAUUUGCAUGUUUGAUGAAUGUUUCAAAUAUCUGGGGACGUCUGGUGCAUCCCCAUUUUGUCACUCCCAUAAGAGCAAGUGGGAAUACGUCGUUUCAGAUUAUGAAGACAAAGGAAGCAGAAUGACAACAUUUUUUCACGUCAUAACCCCUUUACAUACGAAGAUGCGGAAUGGAAGGCUAAACGAGCUAGUAUGGCUAUGAAUAAUAUAAUUACUGCCGGUGGGGAUUUACAGUUUUGGAACAGUUACGUUAAAGAAUUCACAGAUGCAAAGUUACCUCCUCCGACUUGUACUGAAAUUCUUGGUCAAAGACGAUACUUUUCAACAGAAGAAGAGGCCAACAAAGUCUAUGCAGCGAGACAGUUUGUCACACUUUUGAGAAAACUAGUCCCAGCAACAUCAACAUUUCGCUAUUUGAAUAAGAAUGUAGCGUUGCCAAAUGGAGCGGAGAAAGAAGUAUUAGAAGAAAUGAAAAAUUGGGGAAUGCAGCUCGGUAUCUCCAAAUACUUGGGUCGUGAAUUCAGGGCUACCCUCCCUUACCCCUUUGGUAAAGAACGAGAAGGAAAAGACGUGAUUUCUUCAAUGGUGGUGACCAAAGAGCGUGGGGCACUCUACGUGGUGUCUAACCCACACAUUAAUUAUUUCGGGAAGACCCUAAUUGGUAAAAAGCUUCAUUUGGCCACUGGUGAUCAGAAUGACACUGUGACCAAAUACAGUUUGAUGGAACAUCACCUUCCCUGGGAACUGAUUCCCUUGUCCUCUUGUCCUGUGGAUGAUUUGGAGACAAACGAAGCUCAUCUUCACAUCGCGAACUCUUUCGCCGACCUUCUUCAUCUACAUCAACAAUUUGUCUCAGACCCCCCUUACACUUCUCCAGCAGGAUCCACUCCUUAUGACGCCUAUCCUAUCUGCCUUAAUAAAUUCACUAAUGCCAAGUUCUUGGAUGAUACUUCGUUCACCAAAAUCAAUCAGUUUAUGUUAAAGUGUUAUGGAGUUGAGAUCUACAUUGGUCCAACGUAUUAAUUUGUAGCCUAUAUGUACUAUUUUCAGAAUUUGAUUUAAAUGUUACCUAUUACCAGUAAUGACAAGUCGGGGUGAUGCGCCCAGAUAUUCGUAGCCAUAAUUGUACUGAGCAUUAGCCAUUUUAGCUACGACAACCUCCUCCCCAGAAUUCCAGUAGUAGCGGAGUUGCUUCAACCAUUCAAAAUUGGAACUAACCAAUGAAUCAACAUACAAUGUAGAUGUUAAUUUAGUAGGAAGUUUAAUUUCUGUAGAACGAACCUGGUUUCUACUUUUUUCACCACGAGACUUGUGAUAAUGUCUCUUCCGUGGACGUCGAUGGUGAUAAGGGCGCAGAGAACGGCUCUCACCAGUGGAGGCAGCUGACCUCGCACCAUUGCAGCAAGUUUUUUGAGAUUCUGUAGAGUUGAUAGAGAACAAAUGGGUAAUUGAUGAACAAGCAGAUUUAGUGAAUGAAUGGACUUAUGUACCUCAAAAUUCUUCUUUUCGAACUCUCUCAUCCCUAAAAUUGAGUUCCCUGGGCCUAGAAUGUUACGAUUAUUAGUAUUAAUUGUAUUCCUAAGAGUGGUGUGACCAUGUCCGUACCGUCAAGAAUCAUGUGGACGAUUUGUGCCCACAUUAAUUGUGAGAUGGAUAGAACGCACUACACAAAGUGAUCCAAAUUAUUAGUACUGAUCAUUCUGAUUUCCUACAAAUAAUAAUAGAAUGGCUGACCUGUGAUGGAAAACGCUGCACCCAUUCCUCCCUUUCCAUCAAGUGCCAAUCUGUGAGACAAUUCCUCAUGCUUCGUUUUAGGGAGGCAAACAUGGCAUCCUCCACUUUCCCCAGCCAUUCCUGCAACAAUUUGCAAGUAAUACGGAUAAUUGCAAAUCACUUAAUUAACUCUUAAAGUAUGUAUGUACCUCCACGUUUCCUCUCGUUUUGAGCCCCUUGGUUAAAGCUACUCUUUCCUCCUCUGGGGAAAACAUGGCCGUAAUGUCCUUCACCACGGCGGAAGCAGGACCACCAAACGUCAAUCUUUGCACAGCGUCGAAGCAUUUUCUCAAAUGGGGUUCUGUAAAUUAAAGACAGAAGAAUGGUUAUAGAAAAGACCAAGACUCGUUUCACAGUGAGUUCAUGUACACACUUACGCACAGCCGAUGCGUUUCGAGUCUAAUUUCAAGGAGAAAACAGAUGGAAAAUUACUUUAACUCGUAAAUUAUCAUAUAUAUUGUUAAAUACUAGCGAAUCUCACUCACUUGAGCCAAGAUUUCCAACAACUCCUCAUUCGAGAGGAAGUAAAAUCGAGGAAAGAUGACUCGUUUCGACUCCAAAUAGUCAUCAAGGCACUUCAUGAUCUGCUCCAACAAUUUGUUGCUAGAAAUGAACACUUCGAGCAAUCCGGGUGUCGUGGCCGCCUUCAGAGCUAAGGGGUUCUAAAGACGUCCCAAUCGAAACAUGCAUUUGUAAAAUCGUACAUAUUAUUUAAUAUGUACAUAGCAUGCCGAUUUACUCUGUUCGUUUUGGACAUGAUUUCCCUCCACGAUUUAUCCACCUGGGAAAACAUUUUUGCCUCGCUUGGCAGUUGUCGUUGAAUGUCCGGUGCGGAAAAGACGGAUUCCAAAUGAAUCCAAUUCCUUUGGCAGUUCAUCCACUCGUCUAAUGUGUUUGAAAAUAGAUCGAGAAGCUUGACCCAUUCGUCCACCUUCGGUUUGAUUGGGCCGACAUGUCUCGAUGACGAAAUCGUGGUCAUGUGGAUGAGAGAAUCGUCCAACAAAACUUGAAUAUCGUCCGUCCCACCAAGAAUGAAGACGUCUCUUUGAUCCUUAUGUGACAGCACGAUGAAUUCCACGUCCUGCCAGGAAUCCUCCACCUUUUUCAGUAAAGCUUCCAAACUGAACUCACUACUCGCUUGGGCUGACAUUUCCUGAAUAAAUUCCGCAAAAUCCGCAAUCCCCUGAUCCGUGAGCUGUAGAAGAGUCGUGGUUGGGUCCGUCAGCGUUAUCCCCAUCUUGGCCUCCAUCACGUUCCAAUGUCUCUGUCGAAUAUUUGGGUUGUGCAGAUUGGCAAUCCAGGGGAGCUGGAAACGCAUAUUGUCCACUUUGUCCUUGAGAAUGGGGACGACCUCGUUGGGUGGCAGACCUUUCUCCAAUUGCUGGAUACUCUUCACGUAGUCAUUCACUUCUCGCGUCAUGUUCUCUGGAACGAGGGUGGAAAACGGGGUGGCGUCCCACUCCUUCUUUUGAACGUCCCAUCUCGCAAGGGAAUCCCAAAGUUGGUGACGAAUCUUGGUGAAUACGAUGAGUUUGUCGAGUUCCUCAAAAUCUGUGACGUCAACUUUCAACUUUUUCUGAUAGGAUGUAAAUUUUGCCGCUUUUUCUUGAUCGGCCAACAAAAUGUCGCGAACUUGAGUUAAUUUGUGGCUCAGAAUGAUAGGAUCAGAGGUCGGAUUGAGGACUUCGGGGGCCUGGACGACAACUCGGAUUGUGUUCACGCGACCCCAAAUCUCUUCCGUUUCAAUUCGAAACUGUUCCAUUAAUUCGGCCAUGAGUUUCUCCCUGUUGGCGGUUUGUGCAUCGAUAAGUUCACGCAGAGUGAGGAGGGUGGGUUGUAGGGAUUCAAAGCCGGCUAAGUCUUCUGGGGUGGACUCGAUUUUGUAGUCCUCCAUCAGAUCGAAUAACUCGGCAGUAAUGUCCAAGUCUUUUUCGAUUUCUUCCAUCUGCAUGAAAUUUUAGCUAUAAUAUUGGCAUGGCAUGUCAAUAAUGUGCAGUUUAUCACUCACCUCAUCCGAAAUCUCCUCCAUGUACAUUAAAUAUUUUACAUAAUCGUCCGCCAAUUGGGGAUAAGUUUGAAGGUGGUCAAUCGCUUUCUGCAUUCUCGCCGUGGACUCGACCACAUUUUGCGCUCCAACACUUUAAUUAACAACAAUGGACAAAAGCUUAAUUUUUAUAUCAGUAAAGAUCGUCACUCAACUCAAUAAACGGCUUAAUUACACGGGCAUGACUUCGUCAAGAACGUCCAGACAUCGUUGAAUCGUCGGAUUGGCAUGAGCUCGGAGAAUGGAAUUGUUAACGCGGAACACACCCAUCGACUUGAGAUCUUCAACCUUUUCCAGAGUGGCUUUCUGCUCCCAAAACUUUUCCAGCCAAAGUUGAAACUUUUGCACGUCUGAAAUAACAGGAAUAAACGAAUCGAGUUGAAGGCAGCAAUGUACUGGUCCGACAUUUGAAAGCUGUGACGGAGAAUUAGCUCCCCAAUUGUUCCGAGGCCGUCUAAAUCAUAAUCCAGAUCUAAAAAGAGUUUGAAACUUGGCCCUUCUCCGCACGUUUUAGGAUCAACGUAGCCAUUAAUGAUGGGUCUGCGAGAGAGAAUAAGCAGGAAACAAAUUAGAUGCGUACAUACAUACACAAGCUGAGAUUAUUUUUAUGAGUAAUAAAUUUAUGUGCACUCACUGCGUGUACGGGUUGAAUUGUGAAAUGGAGAGCAUAUUGUCGUACGAAAGAACGGCGUCACGCCACGCCCCCAGCACGGUGUACCAGCCUUUGACAUACUCCACGAUUGAGGGAGAGAACACUAGACCUUCGUCGUUCCAAAAGCAACCAAUGUCAAACAUGGGUUCCGCUACCCCCGAGAGAACUGGCGACCCAAACUAUGCAGGAGGAAGAAAUAAGUUGCACAUUAGUUCAGAAAGUUCAAAAUCUUUUUGCUUUGUGAAUUAUAUGUAAAUAAGUUCAACUCACAUGAAGAUCAACGUUGUGCUGCAAUUCUGUGAAAGCCUCCUCGUCUUCAAAAUCUGCGUAAUAUGGUUCCGGAACGAACGGAAGUCUAGCGUGCAUCUCCAAGACGAGUAGAAACAUGGAGUUCUUCAGUAAUUUGUGAUAAGCCCUGUGCCACAGAAUAAUAAUCAAGACGUUCAAUAACUCUUAACAAAAUACGUGUAAUUUUAAUUAUUUGUGUCAAUCACCUCUGAACCAAAUAGUCGACUAGGCGAAUAAAAUCCGUGAUGCGUUUGCACACUUGGCGUUUUUUCUUUUGUUGUGAAAAUGAUAACCAUUGUCCAGGAUAGUCGAGAACUAUGGCCAAAUUCUGGUGGUAAAAGGAUUUAUACAAAUUUAUCCAUGAAUAGCGUCUUCUGAAUUUAUUAAGCCAAAGGUAUGAUUACCUUUCCCAAAUGCUGGACAGGCAUCUCCAACUGUUUCAUAUAAAAUUCCAUCUCUUCUGGAUACUGAUCUGGAGAGAAUCCUUCCUCAAUAAGGGCUGCACGACAAGCAGCACCCGUCAUUUCUAUCACCAUUCCUUCAAACGCUCGAAAUCGUGACCCCACUCCAUCCAAAUGACGAAUCUAAGGAAAUAUCAACCAGUUUCAAUAAAUAUGUAUGUUUCACAAAAUCAAUCUUUAUCUUUAAAAUUUUGUAUGCGUACCUGAGACUGGACAAAUUCUGGAAGAGCGUACGUUUCCCCAUGUUGAAUGUUGAGGAGUGACAUGGUCGUCAACUUUUGACACAUUUUUGCCAACUCUAACAACAUAAUUCGAAGGGGACGCUUCGUGAGGAAGAGAUCGCGAGCAAUAUUGAACUUAAUAUUUCUCAUCUUCUCCUCUCGGACUAUGUAACGCCACAAGUAGAACGCUUUCCAGACGCGAAAGUUGAAGAAAAAUGGAAGCUGUACAAAAAUUACUCACUGAAUAUCCGUGAAUUAAACAUUAUUUAAUUACAUGUCGCCUUCAUACCGAGCGACAUUUGUCGUAACAUCGCAUGUGGGUGUGGAUGUGGAGCAUGGAGAUAAAGUCGGCCAUCCCAUUUGCAAAAUACAAAGCCCCGUAACGACUCACAGUGUAGUGGAUUCUGUUCCCAACUUGACUAUAUUUUACUAUUCUGCAAAAAGCAAUUAGAGACAUUAGGUUUAUGAACUUUAAUAUAAGUUAAUUAAUUAAUAAACGUCUCACUUGAGGUUGUAGGGAUUGUACUCUGGAUGAGAAAAUGGCAAUGAAUAGACGACACAAAUGUAGUCAUUAUUGUAGUGUUUUUCCAUUCGUAACAAAAGCUCCACGAAUUGGGCUCGAGAUAGAGCAACGCCUUCCGGAACUCCCCACAACUUUUGGGUGUCUGAAAUUUAGGGAGUAUUUUUAAUUCAUAAAUCAUAUGCAUAUGCAAAUACAUAAAUUUAUACGUACCGAUCGCACUACGAACAAUUUCUCCUGGAGGGAGGCACUCUUGAUAUGCCAUAGUUCUAUCCAAGCAUUUAGGAUAGCCUGGGAUUCCUCUGUGACCCACGUAGCGUUCUUUUAUGCUCACUGGCUUCUUGGCUUCCUCCUCCAACACUGAACAAACCCAAAAUUAUUGAUGGUGAUUACGAAACAAAGUAAAAUUGUCGAAAUAAUUAAUUACGGCAAAGCUUCUCAUUUAGCGACAUAUCAGAUCCGCCCACCAUCGUUCCUCCCUCUGUGAAAUCGUCUUCAUUAAAAUGCUUCCACUCGGGUUUCUGUUAUAAUUUGCAAUUCAUAAUUUAGAAUAGAUUUAGAAUAAAUUCCUAAUACUCCAACCCACCACGACUGACGGCAUCGCCUCCAACACAGCUUUGUUCUUCUCCAAUUGAUCCGGACAAAUGCUUUCAUCCUGAGGACGACGUAAUCUGGUCGGCAAUUUGGUCGCGCUUCCAGCAUAGCAAGACUGUUGAGAUGAUUUUUCUAGGGUUCGACGUGACGUUGCGCUCACCACUCUGGUCAAAGUGGCCGAAGAUGACCCACGGCAAACGUCAUCUUCAGGUUUCUUUUUCAAUUUUUCGGGUUCCACUCUGAAAAUAAGUGACACCAGUUGGUUAUUUUUUAGUUUACUCCCCGACCUUCUCAACUUUUAGAGUACUUUUGUUUGCAGGGCACUCUUCUCAAAUUGCGUCUGGGUUUCGAAUCCUCAUCGGACGACUCCUGCUCAAAAAUGCCUGGAAAGAGGAUUCGUUUCUUGAGGUAGAGAAUGUCCUCCUCUCUCGGCUUGAGGUUGUGGUGAAGUUGGUCCAGACGGGAUACGCCGGCACGGGAAGAACCUAUCGAUGUCUGCGAGAGUUGGAAAGAUGGUCCCAUUUCCAGCGUAAAAUUUGACUCUGAUGGUGGCAAGAUCUUAUCCCUGGGACCAGAAGAAUAGAUAUUUUGACCACCAGCAGCACCACCACCACCACUUUCGCGAUUACGUGAAGUACGCUUUUUUGGGUGACUUGUUCUAAAAUAAAUCAGAACAUGGUCAAGGAACGGAUAAUCGUCAUGUCAUCACAAUCGUCACCUUUUCGGAGGACGUGAUUCUUCGUCCUCCUCUGCUUCGUCCAACGAAGGUCGGCCGGGUCCGUGAACUAUUCUAUUGUUUACCAUGCUCUUUCGAAGGAGACGCAUAGCUUUAGAAUCAGAAUUUCUGGCAGGUUUGUCCUGCUCGCUCUCAACGUGAUCCAUUAUGAUCACCAAGACUUUUCAGCGUACGAAAAAUAAUAUAUGGAAAUCUUGAGUAGAAUUGGUUAUGCAGGCUGGAAAUAAACGUGAGAAUAUUGACCAAACUGCCGAAAGACGGAACGCUCCGUUGCCGUUAGUUACCAAUAAGAAAUAUUCACAAGAGAACGUAAUGAUGAUUCUGCAGACAUGCAUAAUCUAUAAUUUUUCCAUUAAAAUUAUCACAUUCACAAUGUUCCUAGUUUGGCUUCUUUACUGUACAAAAUAUAAUGAUAGCUACAUGCCAAAAUAAGUUGGUUAUGAAUAUUAUUUUCUUUAGUUUUCUUCAUAAUCCUAAUAAAUCCAUGUUCAAUUUUUUA